This is a long non-coding RNA of Sipha flava (yellow sugarcane aphid), 809 nucleotides long. RefSeq lists it as uncharacterized. The transcript has 3 exons. Lineage: Eukaryota; Metazoa; Arthropoda; Insecta; Hemiptera; Aphididae. The record is from RefSeq and is a predicted model, not a curated record.
GUUGACUCUUAUCUAACGAUAUAGAUUAUUCACUGUGAUAUACAAUUUUUAUUUUUCUAACAUUUGAUAUUUAUUUAAUAUUCUUCAAAUUUUAUCCGGGGGGGGGGGGCUAUGCCCUCCCGGAGAGGUGUCUGAAGAAACACUGUUAGUGACCAAUGCCAUUAAGCGUCUACCCCGACUUUUGGCAACUUAAAGAGAACGCAUAUACUUACCUUAAAUAAGAAGGGGGACUCCGUCCCCCUCCACUUUAACCACUGACUUCAAUUGAUCUCCUGGUAUAGAAACGAAAAAAAAAUGGAGUUUGACACAAGGGGUCAAGGUAUCAAUAAUAAAUGGUUUAUUGUUAGAAAAAACCGACUAACACCUAUAAUUUCGGUAAAGUGUGCAUAAUGCGGCCUAGCACAUUUUGUAAGGCUAUGGUAUAUAAUAUAUCGUUUGGUGAUUCACAAACAAAUGCAAUGGAAUAUGAUAAACUAUCAGAAGAGCAUUAAAAAAAAUUAUACGUUCAAAUACAAAAACCUAUUAAAAAGUGUGGACUAUAUAAUAAUAAACGUUAACCAUAUCUUGCAGCAACGGCAGAUGGAUUAGUUGAAAAAACUACAGUCGAAAUAAAAUGUCUAUUUUUGUAAAAGAAUAUGACAGUUUAAAACAAAUGUAACGCAAGUCUUAUUCUAACGGGCUGUACGAACCAAAUUGGAUAGUAAGAAAAAUCAAAAGGGCAGUUAACUUUAUGAAUACGAGCACCUUAAAAAAUAUAAUUUUCCUUGUAGAAUGAUUGAAUUUCUACUGAGUAUUUGGAAUUUGUGUAA